This is a long non-coding RNA of Spodoptera litura, 1344 nucleotides long. RefSeq lists it as uncharacterized. The record is from RefSeq and is a predicted model, not a curated record. NCBI's taxonomy places the organism in Eukaryota, Metazoa, Arthropoda, Insecta, Lepidoptera, Noctuidae.
CAUAAAAAAAAAUAACGUUAACCCAAAAUAAGGGAAAAUGGAUAAAAUAUUAAUUACCGCCAUCUGUCAUCGCUUUUGCGAAUUAACAUAGACGAUAGCAAUAUGAUCAACGACCUUGGAUCUUGCCUUUCAUAUCGACCAAGUGUUAGUAGUGCUAUCUCUGUGACAUAGAUGGCACUAGUUCCACACUAAUAUUAUUUUGUAAUAACACUUUCUGACAGUAGGGGUCUCACAGAUCGUAAUCUGGAACAAUCUAGAGAUUUCUUCGGAUCAGGAAGUGGAUCGUGCAAAAUAUUACCAAAUAUGGUGAUGUUUGGUGCUUCGAUCAGUAGUGGAAUCGAAAGAUAGGGGGUAUAAAUGUAGGAGUUUUGUAGAAACCGUCCUUUUUCGAAAUCGAUUUCUACAACAAGGAAGAUCAGACUGAAGAAGUGCUGUGUCUUAUAAUUUUAUUAAAAAGUUGUCGUGCAGGUCCAGUGAAAGACCUGAAUUAAUUAAUAUUUGUGUGUAUUUCGUCCCAGAUUCUGGGUUCUUUAUAUCUGGAGAAAAUUCUUUAUAUCUGGAGAAAAUUCUUUAUAUCAGGAGAAAAUUCUUUAUAUCAGGAGAAAAUUCCUUGUAUCAGCAGAAAGUUUAUCCAUGUCUACCCCAUUGUAGACAAUCAAUUGAUUUGUCGUUUUGCCCGUGAAGUCGAGCUGGAGCAUCGUGGUACGGCUUCAGAUGCUCAUGAUUUAUACGAGGUCACCGGAUGAAGGCAGAUCCUUACAGUCGUGCACCAGAUCCUCUGUUGUAGUGCUGGCACGCCGGAUAUCUGUCUCAGAAGUUAAGUAACAUAGUUUAUUAACUGUAUGUACUUAUAAGGGUAUUGACAAUCACCCUGCGAAGGUGAUAUGUUUGUUACAGAUUAGCUGUUUUUGCUGUAUUUAAUCCAAAUAUUUAUAGUUAAAUAUUGCCAUUCAUGUAUAUUUGGAAUUUUUGUUAUAUAUGUGUAAUUACCCACUUCCUUCCAGAUAAAGUUGUAUUAAAAUUAACGAAAAUAAGUGGGUAACUUGUAAUAAUUAUAUAUUUAAAGGUGCAUGAUUUGAUGAUCAGCUGAUCAUCGUCUGUAUGUAUAUUACUUGUGCCGUUCUUUGGAUUAAUUGGUAAUUUGAUUACAUGGGUUAAUUGUGUGUGUUAAAUUAAAUAUAUUUUGGUAAAUUUAUACUGUAUAGCUUUGUGUUAUUUGAAUUUAUUUAUACCCCACGAAGAGAAUCAUGGCGCCCUGGGAUUAUCUAAUAUAAAGUUUAUUUAAGAGUUUCUUGUCCUGCCCUGAGACUAGGUCCGGUGGUAGCCGAAAUUAAAGGUUACAAU